CUAAAAGAAAAAUAAAAUCAUUUUUUGUUUAAUCUAUGCUUGCAUAAUGCACUUCUUCAUUUAUUCCAUGUACCAAUUGAAGAAAAAACUUUUAGUGCAUAUUAUUUUUUCCCUAACUUUAUGUUCAUAUAUGCCAUCUUAUAACAUAAUUAUUUUUUAUAUCUACCUAAACUCUUUUGCCUUAGUUAUUUUUUUAAGUUAUAAAAUCAAAUUAAAUCUUACAUGUUAUUGUGUAGUUACUAUGUGAAC
RNAcentral lists this long non-coding RNA (249 nucleotides) under Elaeis guineensis (African oil palm). RNAcentral describes it as "long non-coding RNA (EGUI_LNC037874)". The record is from RNAcentral. Lineage: Eukaryota; Viridiplantae; Streptophyta; Magnoliopsida; Arecales; Arecaceae.